UGAGUGGGCCGGGCGGUCGCGGUAGCGUCGAAAGGCGGUAUCGAGGAAAGUCCGAGCUCCACAGGGCAGGGUGCUUCGUAACGCGAAGGCGGGGUGACCCGACGGAAAGUGGCACAGAAAACACACCGCCUACGUCCGCCAUGGGCGGGCCGGCAAGGGUGAAAAGGUGCGGUAAGAGCGCACCAGCGGCUUGGCGACAAGCCGGCUUGCUAAACCCCACCUGGAGCAAUUCCGAAUAGGGGGGCGAUGGAGUGGCCCGCUCCGCCCCCGGGUUGGAAGCUGGAGGCCUGCGGCGACGCAGGUCCUAGAGGAAUGGCCGCACAGGGACGGUUCGCCGUCCUGGACAGAACUCGGCUUACAGGCCCACUCACCAU
Molecule: RNase P RNA, 374 nt
Filed under: Candidatus Hydrogenedentota bacterium
Lineage: Bacteria; Pseudomonadati; Candidatus Hydrogenedentota
Also listed under: 1 other name
Description: RNase P RNA component class A
Rfam family: Bacterial RNase P class A
About the family: Ribonuclease P (RNase P) is a ubiquitous endoribonuclease, found in archaea, bacteria and eukarya as well as chloroplasts and mitochondria.
Source: RNAcentral